Molecule: ribosomal RNA, 693 nt
Filed under: Triticum aestivum (bread wheat)
Lineage: Eukaryota; Viridiplantae; Streptophyta; Magnoliopsida; Poales; Poaceae
Description: partial small subunit ribosomal RNA
Source: RNAcentral
AUGUCAGGGUACGGCGCCUCCAACAUCGUCGACCGGCUCCACCCCGAGAGCGUCCGGGUCUACCUCAUCACCUCCGAGCUCGUCCGGGCCGUCCACCGAGGCCUCGCCAUCAAGAGCCUCAAGCAAGGGGAUGAUCCAGAGGCGGCACGUCGGCACACGGCGCAUCUCGACGGCCUCGACUGGGACGUCAUCCUUGUCCGAGAUAAGGAGUUCAGAGCUCGCAGCACGCCUAGUGGCAAGAUUAUCCUGCACACCGGGUGCUUCGACCUUCUCAAGACCGAUGAGGAGAUAGCCUCUAUUAUUGCACACGAGAUUGGGCACAUUGUUGCGAGGCAUUCAGUGGAGCGGAACCUUUACAGGAGGAGCUGGUUUCCGUCCUGCCUUAGGCACUACUUGCUACAGAGGCAGGAGCUAGAGGCAGAUCACAUUGGAAUCCUACUACUAGGCGCUGCUGGUUACGAUCCGCGCAUAGCCCCGGCAACCAUUGAAACAGUCAAGGAAAAGCUAGGAUCAAGGAAAGCAUGCGCCACUCAUCCUUCCACUGAGACAAGAUUGCAGCUCUUGUCGCAACACAAGGUCAUGGAGGAGGCACUCGAACUUUAUAGAGAGGUUAAAGCCAACUACUCGCUUUGCUUGACGCUCAGAUCCAUGGCGGCCAGUCCUGAGUUUGGUAGAUUUUUGCUUGGGGAGUGA